ACGGGAGGCAGCAGUGGGGAAUAUUGGACAAUGGGCGCAAGCCUGAUCCAGCAAUGCCGCGUGAGUGAUGAAGGCCUUCGGGUUGUAAAGCUCUUUCGCACGCGACGAUGAUGACGGUAGCGUGAGAAGAAGCCCCGGCUAACUUCGUGCCAGCAGCCGCGGUAAUACGAAGGGGGCUAGCGUUGUUCGGAAUUACUGGGCGUAAAGGGCGCGUAGGCGGUCCCUCAAGUCAGGCGUGAAAGCCCCGGGCUCAACCUGGGAACCGCGCUUGAGACUGAUGGGCUAGAGUUCGGGAGAGGAUGGUGGAAUUCCCAGUGUAGAGGUGAAAUUCGUAGAUAUUGGGAAGAACACCGAUGGCGAAGGCAGCCAUCUGGACCGACACUGACGCUGAGGCGCGAAAGCGUGGGGAGCAAACAGGAUUAGAUACCCUGGUA
This 434-nucleotide ribosomal RNA is filed under the name uncultured Skermanella sp. Its description in RNAcentral is "bacterial SSU rRNA". It matches the Rfam family "Bacterial small subunit ribosomal RNA", at positions 341 to 792 of the family's 1533-position model. Lineage: Bacteria; Pseudomonadati; Pseudomonadota; Alphaproteobacteria; Rhodospirillales; Azospirillaceae. The record is from RNAcentral.